GUACACUCCUACGGGAGGCAGCAGUGGGGAAUUUUGGACAAUGGGCGAAAGCCUGAUCCAGCAAUGCCGCGUGUGUGAAGAAGGCCUUCGGGUUGUAAAGCACUUUUGUCCGGAAAGAAAUCCUUGGCUCUAAUACAGUCGGGGGAUGACGGUACCGGAAGAAUAAGCACCGGCUAACUACGUGCCAGCAGCCGCGGUAAUACGUAGGGUGCGAGCGUUAAUCGGAAUUACUGGGCGUAAAGCGUGCGCAGGCGGUUUGCUAAGACCGAUGUGAAAUCCCCGGGCUCAACCUGGGAACUGCAUUGGUGACUGGCAGGCUAGAGUAUGGCAGAGGGGGGUAGAAUUCCACGUGUAGCAGUGAAAUGCGUAGAGAUGUGGAGGAAUACCGAUGGCGAAGGCAGCCCCCUGGGCCAAUACUGACGCUCAUGCACGAAAGCGUGGGGAGCAAACAGGAUUAGAUACCCCGGUAGUCCC
Molecule: ribosomal RNA, 474 nt
Filed under: uncultured organism
Description: partial 16S ribosomal RNA
Rfam family: Bacterial small subunit ribosomal RNA
Source: RNAcentral